UGAAGAUUAAUACCUUAUGGUAUUAAGGAUUCGCAUGAAUUCUUAAUUAAAGAUUUAUCGGUAAAAGAUGGCUAUGCGUCCUAUUAGCUAGAUGGUAAGGUAACGGCUUACCAUGGCGACGAUAGGUAGGGGUCCUGAGAGGGAGAUCCCCCACACUGGUACUGAGACACGGACCAGACUCCUACGGGAGGCAGCAGUGAGGAAUAUUGGGCAAUGGAGGCAACUCUGACCCAGCCAUGCCGCGUGCAGGAAGAAGGCCCUAUGGGUUGUAAACUGCUUUUAUACAGGAAGAAACACUGGUAUGUAUACCAGCUUGACGGUACUGUAAGAAUAAGGACCGGCUAACUCCGUGCCAGCAGCCGCGGUAAUACGGAGGGUCCGAGCGUUAUCCGGAAUCAUUGGGUUUAAAGGGUCCGCAGGCGGUCGAUUAAGUCAGAGGUGAAAUCCCAUAGCU
This 454-nucleotide ribosomal RNA is filed under the name uncultured Polaribacter sp. RNAcentral describes it as "bacterial SSU rRNA". It matches the Rfam family "Bacterial small subunit ribosomal RNA", at positions 157 to 609 of the family's 1533-position model. The record is from RNAcentral. Lineage: Bacteria; Pseudomonadati; Bacteroidota; Flavobacteriia; Flavobacteriales; Flavobacteriaceae.